This is a long non-coding RNA of Erinaceus europaeus (western European hedgehog), 997 nucleotides long. RefSeq lists it as uncharacterized. The transcript is spliced from 3 exons. Lineage: Eukaryota; Metazoa; Chordata; Mammalia; Eulipotyphla; Erinaceidae. The record is from RefSeq and is a predicted model, not a curated record.
UUUUAAAAAUAUUUAUUAAUUAUUUAUUCCCUUUUGUUGCCCUUUUCUAUUGUUGUAGUUAUGAUUGAUGUCAUUGUUGUUGGAUAUGACAGAGAGAAAUAGAGAGAGGAGGAGAAGACAGAGAGGGGGAGAGAAGACUGCAGACCUGCUUCACCACCUGUGAAGUGACUCCCCUGCAGGUGGGGAGCUGGGGACUUGAACUGGGAUCCUUACGCCAGUCCUCGUGCUUUGUGCCACCUACGCUUAACCCACUGCUCUACCGCCUGACUCCCAAAUGCAACUACUGAAUGACUUAAUUAAGAAGUGGUUUACUCUUAUACCUCAAGACAGUUCUUGAAAUCAGAGAAGUACUUCUCCUCUUUUGUACAACCAUGACAGUCCCAGCUGGAUUUAAAGAGUGUAGAGCCAGGUCAGCUGGUCCUGCAGCUCUUCAAAUGGACACGGGGGCAAUUGACAAGCUGGUGGAAAGACAAAGACACUAUUUAAACACUUCACAGGAAAGGCACAAGAUGAAAAAGACAGUCUUCACUAUGAACAUGCUGAGCCCAGGAAAUAAUCAGUUCAAAAGAAGCCGCACUAUCCCACUGUUCAGGCUCUGAGGUUGCAGAGGUCCUCUGGAGGCUGAUGAUCUUUUAACAUGGGUAAGUUUGUUUUUACUUUUUCAUGUUUAAAAGUUACUUGAGAAGUUAAGAAUGUGAAGCUACUGGGUGGGGGAGUAAGGAGUCUCUUAACAUGUUAACACUGUUCAUGGUUGGGGUCCUGUCUUUCUAGCUUUGAAAACUUGAGGGGGAGCAGUUUUAGAGAUGGAAGAAAGCACACCAGGUGGGGUGCCCGCCUUGCUAUGCAUGCGGCGCAGACUCAAGUUGUUGAAAAGAGUUGAAAGCAGCUCUAUAUUCUCUGUAUUGUCUCUAACUGAAUGAAAAACAGCAGCCCAAGAGCAGUGAAAUCACACGUGUGAGUCAUCAGUUCAUCAAAGAAAUUAAAUUUUGGCCAGAGA